UACGGAGGGGGCCAGCGUUGCUCGGAAUUACUGGGCGUAAAGGGCGCGUAGGCGGUAUGACAAGUCACUUGUGAAAUCUCCGGGCUUAACUCGGAACGGCCAAGUGAAACUGUCAAACUAGAGUGCAGAAGGGGCAAUCGGAAUUCUUGGUGUAGCGGUGAAAUGCGUAGAUAUCAAGAGGAACACCUGAGGUGAAGACGGGUUGCUGGGCUGACACUGACGCUGAGGCGCGAAAGCCAGGGGAGCAAACGGG
Molecule: ribosomal RNA, 253 nt
Filed under: uncultured bacterium
Lineage: Bacteria
Description: partial 16S ribosomal RNA
Rfam family: Bacterial small subunit ribosomal RNA
Source: RNAcentral